UCAUGAUAAUGGUUUAGGUAAAUGUUUCAUGAUAAGAAUUUCAUGUCUUUUGUAUUAAAGAAUUAAAUGGAUGAAAUAUGAAGUUUUAUUAAAAGAAAAAGGGGUGAAAAGAACAAAGUUUUGUCCAUCUUUGUUCAUCAUAGCUGAAAGUUAGAGAAGAGAAAGGAGAGGAGAAAGCUCUUGAGUAUUCGGUCAUUAGAAGGAGGAAAAUUGAAGGCGGUUCGUGUGUGGAUCUUGUCAGCAUAUCGUCGCAAACAGGAAAUCCCCAACCAUAAUGGGCUUGGAGCUGUGAGGGAAUUCGAAGUGGCCACCCGUUCUGAAAGUUUGAUUUUCUUCUGGAAAUCCCCAACCAUAGUGGGCUUGGAGCUGUGAGGGAAUUCGGAGUGGCCACCCGUUCUGAAAGUUUGAUUUUCUUCUGGUGAACUGGACAUCCUUUUAAUUACGUUUGAGGUUUUGGGCUUUUAAAUGUAAUAAGGCCGCUUAUUUAUUUUUGAUGGUUUUAAUAUGUAUUACUAAGAUAGGUAUUACUUA
Gossypium arboreum is the source of this 531-nucleotide long non-coding RNA. RefSeq lists it as uncharacterized. The record is from RefSeq and is a predicted model, not a curated record. The transcript has 4 exons. NCBI's taxonomy places the organism in Eukaryota, Viridiplantae, Streptophyta, Magnoliopsida, Malvales, Malvaceae.